UCGAGAAUCUUCCGCAAUGGACGAAAGUCUGACGGAGCGAUGCCGCGUGAUGGAUGAAGUGCUUCGGUACGUAAACAUCUUUUAUGAGUGAGGAAGUUUUGACGUUAGCUCAUGAAUAAGGGGUUCCUAACUCUGUGCCAGCAGGAGCGGUAAUACAGAGACCCCAAGCGUUACCCGGAAUCACUGGGUGUAAAGGGUGUGUCGGUGGUCAUAUUAGUCGCAUUUUAAAACCCAAGGCUUAACCUUGGAUCUGGAUGCGAAACGGUAUGACUAGAGGGCAAGAGAGGUUUGUAGAACUCUAGGUGUAGGGGUGAAAUCCGUUGAUAUCUAGGGGAAUACCAAAAGCGAAGGCAGCAAACUGGCUUGUUCCUGACACUCAAACACGAAAGCGUGGGUAGCG
RNAcentral lists this ribosomal RNA (400 nucleotides) under uncultured bacterium. RNAcentral's name for it is "bacterial SSU rRNA". It matches the Rfam family "Bacterial small subunit ribosomal RNA", at positions 355 to 770 of the family's 1533-position model. The record is from RNAcentral.